This is a long non-coding RNA of Hypanus sabinus (Atlantic stingray), 1440 nucleotides long. RefSeq lists it as uncharacterized. NCBI's taxonomy places the organism in Eukaryota, Metazoa, Chordata, Chondrichthyes, Myliobatiformes, Dasyatidae. The record is from RefSeq and is a predicted model, not a curated record. The transcript has 3 exons.
GCUGUCUGGAGUGGGAGAUGUUCCGAGGGUCCGCUAACCAUUUAUAACCCAAGGAAUGUGUCCAUAGAUAUUCAUUGGACAACCACUAUAUCGUGUAGAAUCUUACAGCACAGGAGUGAGUAAAGGACCUCGUGCUGUUAAGCAAAAACACCACAGAUUAUCCAUUAAAGGCCGCACUGAUCAGAAUUGCUUAAGAUGGCGACCAAAGAAGCAGCGACCAGAGACCAGAAAUACAUCAUAACAUGAACUACAGAGUCCAAUCACAAACUGCGUCGAUGAAACCUUGCCCAAGACCCAGGACUCCAGCACCAUCCUCUGACAGCAUCGAGCGAGAGGGAGAGAGAGAUCAUUUGAAUGCAGGGAUCUGCCUCUGGUACUAUCAAGCAAGAGGGAGGGAAAGAGAGACCAUUACAUGCAGACACCUUUCUCUGGUAGCAGCAAGCAAGGGGCUGGUAGACGGCCCUGAACACCUGGUUUCCUUCUGCUCUUGCCUCGAUCAUUUCAAUCUUCCUGAAUGCAGACUUAACUAAUAAUGAAGUACAGAAUGAUAAUAUACACAAUAAUAAUUUACCAAUGUGCAAUAUUAAUGUAUGAAAUAAUAAAGUAGAGACUAUUGUACUAUGAUGGGUGUUCUCCUGUCGCACAAGAUGAACUGUUGUAUAUGCUUAUUGCAUUUGGUAGGAAAGAUUUUCUGUAACAUUCCUUGCGACAGCGGAGCUGAAUGAGUCUGUUCGAAAAGGUGCUCCGCUGCAUAUUCAGUAGGUCAUGGAGAGGAUAUGCCAGAAUGUUCGUAAUGAACAACAGUCUUUUUAGUGACCUCUUCUCCACCACUAACUCAAAAGAGUCCAGGUUGUAGCCAAGAACGGAUCCAGCCUUUUUAAUGAGUUUAUUCAGUCUCUUUCCUUCACCAGCACUGGACGCUGCUCCCCCAAAGUAAAGCCGCGGAGAAGACUGCACUCACUAAAACAGACUGGUAAAAGAUCUCCAACAUCCUGCUGCACACAUUGAAGGAUCUCACCUUCCUUAGAAAAUAGAGUCUGCUCGUCCCCUUCUUGUAAACAGCCUUGGUGGUGGUUUUCCAGUCGAGUCUGUUGUUGCGGUGAACACCCAAGUAUUUGUACUCCUCCGCCGCCACAACUUCUUCUCCUAGAAUGUUUACAGGACUCGUCACAGACCUGUUCCUCUUAAAAUCAAUCACCAGCUCCCUGGCUUCCUCAAAUGAGAAGAAGCAGUUCUUGAGACCGGUCAUACAGACUUUGAAGCUAGUGUAUUGUUUUAUGUAUUUUAUGUUGUAUCCUGUAUUAAUACUCAGUCAUUACUAUAGUGGUGCAAAUACCAAGCUGUAGGAGACAUUAUGAAAUCUACUACGUAAUUAAUAUAAAUGUUUAUGCUUAGUUCUAGCUAUAUGUACAUAUUAGGUAAAUAAACAAUUAUACAGUG